This is a long non-coding RNA of Phyllopteryx taeniolatus (common seadragon), 1716 nucleotides long. RefSeq lists it as uncharacterized. The transcript is spliced from 2 exons. NCBI's taxonomy places the organism in Eukaryota, Metazoa, Chordata, Actinopteri, Syngnathiformes, Syngnathidae. The record is from RefSeq and is a predicted model, not a curated record.
UCCAGCACCCUUUACUAACUACUAGAGGUGUAACGCUUUAUGUAUUCGUCCCGGUACCGAUGUCACGGUCCAGUGCAUGCAGUCAGACAAUAGGCUCAGCCCGAGUUCAUUGCGCUAUUAAAACUCCAAACCAGGUGGCAGUAAUGCGGCUAAAGCUGUUUGCUAGCCGCCUUAAACAACAAAACUCAAGAAGAAGAAAGGUUCGUGUUGCAGCGAGUUCAGCCCACAGAAAGCAGCUAGAAGCAGCAGCUAGAAGCAGCUACAAAGACACAUCGGCUUCAAAUCAGCUGUGAGGUUCAGGUUCACUGUGGAAUACAACAGCGAUGGCGUUCGAGUGGCGGCUCAGGCGAGGAAACUGAGUCGGCGCUGUUCAAUAGCCGUGCAGUAUGUGCAUGGAAACACAUUGAACACGUUAAUCCAUAUUAGAUGGCAUCAUCCAGAUGCGCCUAUCACUCGAGCCAGGCAAAAGAAAACAGGAGUUCAACAACGUAUCCCCAAUGUUUUCAAGAAGCCUCUAGAUCUGAAAUUACACAAAGACAUCACUCUAAAGCUAUUGGCAUAUACAUUUCAAUAGCUAUGCGCCCAUAUGGAGUAGUAUGAGACCCAUACUUCAAGUAUUUAUUUAAAGGUGGAAGUGUCAUAAUUCUGUUUAUCCCAAUCUAGCCAUUUUGACAUGUACCGUAAUUUCUCGUGUAUAAUGUGCAUUUUCUUCCCCCAAACAAUUGUCAAAAGUCACUUGUGCGCAUUAUACAUAGGUAUAGUGGGAAAUGGGAAGGGAAAAAAAGUUCACAUUUUAUAAAUGUAUGCUGCCAUCUACAGGUUAUGAAAAAGAUGUACACUUUAAUUCCAAUAUGCCACCGGCACGCAGAGGUUAUGAGAAAGGUGUACACUUUCAUUGUAAUAUGCCUCCGCCAGGCCGGCACGGUGGACGACUGGUUAGCACAUCUGCCUCACAGUUCUGGGGACCGGGGUUCAAAUCCCGGCCCCGCCUGUGUGGAGUUUGCAUGUUCUCCCCGUGCCUGCAUGGGUUUUCUCCGGGCACUCCCGUUUUCUCUCACUUCCCAAAAAACAUGCAUGGUAGGUUGAUUGAAGACUCUAAAUUUGCCCGUAGGUGUGAAUGUGAGUGCAAAUGGUUGUUUGUUUCUAUGUGCCCUGCGAUUGGGUGGCAACCAGUUGAGGGUGUACCCCGCCUCCUGCCCGAAGAUAGCUGGGAUAGGCUCCAGCAGCCCGCGAUCCUCGUGAGGAUAAGUGGGAAAGAAAAUGGAUGGAUGGAUGCCUCCGCCACCUAGAGGCUAUGAUAAAGGUCGGGUCGCGGGGGCAGUAGCUUUAGCAAGGAUGCCCAGACUUCCCUCUCCCCAGCCACUUCAUCCAGCUCUUCCUUUGGCGUUCCGAGGCCAGCUGGGAGACAGUCUCUCCAGCGUGUCCUGGGUCAUCCCCGGGGUCUCCCAAGAUACUUGAACUCCUCCACUUGGGGCAGGAUCGGAUUCCCGACCUGGAGAGGGCACACCACCCUUUUCCCGACUGAGGACCAAGGUCUCAGAUUUGGAGGUGCUUCACACUCUGCUGCGAACCACUCCAAUGGGAGUUGGAGAUCACGGCUUGAUGAAGCCAACAGAACCACAUCAUCUGCAAAAAGCAGAGAUGCAAUACUGAGGCAACCAAACCGGACCCCUCUACUUAUUUUAAUCCCAUUAAAAUAAAAUUGUGUUUCACCUG